RNAcentral lists this ribosomal RNA (481 nucleotides) under uncultured bacterium. RNAcentral's name for it is "partial 16S ribosomal RNA". It matches the Rfam family "Bacterial small subunit ribosomal RNA", at positions 46 to 523 of the family's 1533-position model. The record is from RNAcentral.
GCUUAACACAUGCAAGUCGAGCGAGAAUCGUUUAUUGAAGGCUUCGGCUGGAAAUAGAUGAGGAAAGCGGCGAACGGGUGAGUAACGCGUGGGCAACCUGGCCUUAAGAAAAGGAUAGCCCCCGGAAACGGGGAGUAAUACUUUAUGAGAAUGAAAGAGGGCAUCCUACUUUCAUUCAAAGCGCAAGCGCUUAAGGAUGGGCCCGCGUAUCAUUAGCUAGUUGGUGAGAUAACAGCCCACCAAGGCAACGAUGAUUAGCCGGUCUGAGAGGGCGAACGGCCACAUUGGAACUGAGAGACGGUCCAAACUCCUACGGGAGGCAGCAGUGGGGAAUAUUGCGCAAUGGAGAAGAACUCUGACGCAGCAAUACCGCGUGAGCGAAGAAGGUCUUCGGAUCGUAAAGCUCUGUUAUCAGGGAAGAAGAAAAUGACGGUACCUGAUGAGCAAGUCCCGGCUAACUACGUGCCAGCAGCCGCGGUAA